AGAGUUUGAUCAUGGCUCAGGAUGAACGCUAGCGACAGGCCUAACACAUGCAAGUCGAGGGGCAGCGGGAGCAAAGCUUGCUUUGCUUGCCGGCGACCGGCGCACGGGUGAGUAACGCGUAUGCAACCUGCCUGUAACAGGGGGAUAACCCGGAGAAAUCCGGCCUAACACCGCAUAACACAUGUAAGCCGCAUGGUUUUCAUGUCAAAUAUUCGUAGGUUACAGAUGGGCAUGCGUCCGAUUAGCUAGUUGGCGGGGUAACGGCCCACCAAGGCUGCGAUCGGUAGGGGUUCUGAGAGGAAGGUCCCCCACAUUGGAACUGAGACACGGUCCAAACUCCUACGGGAGGCAGCAGUGAGGAAUAUUGGUCAAUGGACGGAAGUCUGAACCAGCAAUGUCGCGUGAAGGAGGAAGGUACUAUGUAUUGUAAACUUCUUUUGCCUGGGGGUAAAGUGGGUCACGUGUGGCCUAUUGCAAGUACCAGGCGAAUAAGCAUCGGCUAACUCCGUGCCAGCAGCCGCGGUAAUACGGAGGAUGCGAGCGUUAUCCGGAUUUAUUGGGUUUAAAGGGUGCGUAGGCGGGACGUCAAGUCAGCGGUGAAAUACUGUGGCUCAACCAUAGCAUUGCCGUUGAAACUGGCGACCUUGAGUGCGGCAGAGGUAGGCGGAAUGUGUGGUGUAGCGGUGAAAUGCUUAGAUAUCACACAGAACACCGAUUGCGAAGGCAGCUUACUGGAGCGCAACUGACGCUGAGGCACGAAAGCGUGGGUAUCGAACAGGAUUAGAUACCCUGGUAGUCCACGCUGUAAACGAUGAUGACUAGCUGUUGGCGAUACAAUGUCAGCGGCACAGCGAAAGCGUUAAGUCAUCCACCUGGGGAGUACGCCGGCAACGGUGAAACUCAAAGGAAUUGACGGGGGCCCGCACAAGCGGAGGAACAUGUGGUUUAAUUCGAUGAUACGCGAGGAACCUUACCCGGGCUUGAAAGUUAGCGACGUAUCUGGAGACAGAUAUUCCCGCGAGGGCGCGAAACUAGGUGCUGCAUGGUUGUCGUCAGCUCGUGCCGUGAGGUGUCGGCUUAAGUGCCAUAACGAGCGCAACCCCUAUCGUCAGUUACUAUCAGGUAGAGCUGAGGACUCUGGCGAGACUGCCGCCGUAAGGUGCGAGGAAGGCGGGGAUGACGUCAAAUCAGCACGGCCCUUACGUCCGGGGCUACACACGUGUUACAAUGGCCGGUACAGAGGGCAGCGACGCCGCGAGGCGGAGCGAAUCUCCAAAAGCCGGUCUCAGUUCGGAUCGGAGUCUGCAACCCGACUCCGUGAAGCUGGAUUCGCUAGUAAUCGCGCAUCAGCCAUGGCGCGGUGAAUACGUUCCCGGGCCUUGUACACACCGCCCGUCAAGCCAUGAAAGCCGGGGGCGCCUGAAGUCCGCUACCGCGAGGGGCGGCCUAGGGCGAAACUGGUAAUUGGGGCUAAGUCGUAACAAGGUAGCCGUACCGGAAGGUGCGGCUGGAACACCUCCUU
RNAcentral lists this ribosomal RNA (1522 nucleotides) under uncultured bacterium. RNAcentral describes it as "bacterial SSU rRNA". It matches the Rfam family "Bacterial small subunit ribosomal RNA". The record is from RNAcentral.